AGUGAACGCUGGCGGUAGGCCUAACACAUGCAAGUCGAACGGCAGCACAGUAAUAGCUUGCUCUUACGGGUGGCGAGUGGCGGACGGGUGAGGAAUACAUCGGAAUCUACUUUUUCGUGGGGGAUAACGUAGGGAAACUUACUCUAAUACCGCAUACGACCUACGGGUGAAAGCAGGGGAUCUUCGGACCUUGCGCGAUUGAAUGAGCCGAUGUCGGAUUAGCUAGUUGGCGGGGUAAAGGCCCACCAAGGCGACGAUCCGUAGCUGGUCUGAGAGGAUGAUAAGCCACACUGGAACUGAGACACGGUCCAGACUCCUACGGGAGGCAGCAGUGGGGAAUAUUGGACAAUGGGCGCAAGCCUGAUCCAGCCAUACCGCGUGGGUGAAGAAGGCCUUCGGGUUGUAAAGACCUUUUGUUGGGAAAGAAAAGCAGCAGGUUAAUACCCCGCUGUUCUGACGGUACCCAAAGAAUAAGCACCGGCUAACUUCGUG
This 492-nucleotide ribosomal RNA is filed under the name uncultured bacterium. RNAcentral describes it as "partial 16S ribosomal RNA". It matches the Rfam family "Bacterial small subunit ribosomal RNA", at positions 29 to 507 of the family's 1533-position model. The record is from RNAcentral.